Homo sapiens (human) is the source of this 696-nucleotide long non-coding RNA. The record is from Ensembl. NCBI's taxonomy places the organism in Eukaryota, Metazoa, Chordata, Mammalia, Primates, Hominidae.
GAUGAAACAAUGUUUUUCAUAAUGACGGUAGAUUGAAGUAGAUUUUAUUCUCCUCCAUCCUUGCUUUAUCUACUCUGUUCUGUGUGGGGGUAACAUACAGGUCCUUUUGCUUUCUUCGGGGAUGAUACAGCCACCUGGCCAAAACUGAUCAAACCCCUGCUUCUGUGGGAGGAAGACCCCCAAGAACCAUCAGAGACCAAAGGCAGAAGCCCAAAUUCAAGGUGUCUGCAGGCCCUUGUCCUCCUGGAAGCUCUAGGGGGAUCCGUCCUGUCUCUUCCUGCUUCUGGAAGCUCCCAGCAUUCCUUGGCUGGAGUGCAGUGAUGCAAUCUCGGCUGACCUCCCAGGAUCACCUCCACCUCCCAGGAUCAAGCGAUUCUCCUGCCUCAGCCUCCUGAGUAGCUGGGAUUACAAGCAUGUGCCACCAUGUCUGGCUAAUUUUUAUAUUUUUAGUAGAGACAGGGUUUCACCAUGUUGGUCAGGCUGGUCUCAAACUCCUGGCCUCAAGUGAUCCGCCUGCCUCGGCCUCCCAAAGUGCUGGGAUUACAGGCGUGAGCCACUGUGCCCGGUCAAGUUCCUUCUUCUGAUAAGGACUCCAUUCACCGGGCUAGGGCCCUUCCUACUCCAGUGUAUCCUCAUCUAACUAAUUACAUCUGCAAUGAUGCUAUUUCCAAAUAAAGUGAUGUUUGCAGUUACCAA